GGAGACUGUAGCUCAGUGGUAGAGCAUCUGCUUUUCAUGCAGGAGGUCCUAGGUUCAAUCCCCGGCAUCUCCA
Non-coding RNA from Podarcis raffonei (Aeolian wall lizard), 73 nucleotides. The record is from the annotation of a RefSeq genome assembly. Lineage: Eukaryota; Metazoa; Chordata; Lepidosauria; Squamata; Lacertidae.